Long non-coding RNA from Lampris incognitus (smalleye Pacific opah), 232 nucleotides. RefSeq lists it as uncharacterized. The record is from RefSeq and is a predicted model, not a curated record. The transcript has 3 exons. NCBI's taxonomy places the organism in Eukaryota, Metazoa, Chordata, Actinopteri, Lampriformes, Lampridae.
AUAUCGUGUAUGUCACUGAUUGAGCACAAGUUGGACUGGAAUCCAUGAGUGACAUCCUGACCCCCGUCUUAAAAAGACGGGCCUGCAGAAGGAAUAGGAAACAACAGAAGACAAUGAGGCCGCAGUCACUGAGGAAGAGGGGGAAACUAUCUCAGAUGCCACGGCUGAGACCUUAAGGCCUACAGCGGGUUGCAGCUGUGUCUGUCACAUGGUGUUCCAACCCCGGGCAGCC